Long non-coding RNA from Mytilus californianus (California mussel), 407 nucleotides. RefSeq lists it as uncharacterized. The record is from RefSeq and is a predicted model, not a curated record. The transcript has 3 exons. NCBI's taxonomy places the organism in Eukaryota, Metazoa, Mollusca, Bivalvia, Mytilida, Mytilidae.
AAACCAUCUGAUAAGGACGUAGUAUCAUCAUUAUUGGAAUUUGGAGCGGAAAUCAAUGUAACCAAUAGUCUGGGAGAAACAGCUUUAUUGUGUUACAUAAGGAAAUCAGAUAAAACUCCAGAAUUGACAGAAUUUUUGUUAGAUAAAGGAGUUGAUCCAAAUAUUUGUGACAAAGAAGGAAAUUCUGUUUUAAUGGAGGCAAUAAAUCAUGACUUAUAUUCAACUGUUAAAUUGUUAGUACAGCACAAAGCAAACAUCAACCACAUCAGAGAGGAUGGAAACACAGCUCUACAUUUAUGUUUGUUGAAAGAAUCACCAAUAAAACAAAACAAACGAAAAAGAAUCCUUACAAUGGAAGAAUCAUUGAAACAUGUCAAAAUGUCAGAUGCUCUCAGACGUAAAAUUGU